CGGAGGGAUCAUUGCUGGACGCGCUUCGGCGCACCCAGAAACCCUUUGUGAACUUAUACCUAUUGUUGCCUCGGCGCAGGCCGGCCUCUUCACUGAGGCCCCCUGGAAACAGGGAGCAGCCCGCCGGCGGCCAACCAAACUCUUGUUUCUAUAGUGAAUCUCUGAGUAAAAAACAUAAAUGAAUCAAAACUUUCAACAACGGAUCUCUUGGUUCUGGCAUCGAUGAAGAACGCAGCGAAAUGCGAUAAGUAAUGUGAAUUGCAGAAUUCAGUGAAUCAUCGAAUCUUUGAACGCACAUUGCGCCCUCUGGUAUUCCGGAGGGCAUGCCUGUUCGAGCGUCAUUUCAACCCUCAAGCCUGGCUUGGUGAUGGGGCACUGCCUGUAAAAGGGCAGGCCCUGAAAUCUAGUGGCGAGCUCGCCAGGACCCCGAGCGUAGUAGUUAUAUCUCGCUCUGGAAGGCCCUGGCGGUGCCCUGCCGUUAAACCCCCAACUUCUGAAAAUUUGACCUCGGAUCAGGUAGGAAUACCCGCUGAACUUAAGCAU
RNAcentral lists this small RNA (543 nucleotides) under Diaporthe sp. M20. RNAcentral's name for it is "eukaryotic LSU rRNA". The stretch from base 188 to 341 matches the Rfam family "5.8S ribosomal RNA". The record is from RNAcentral. Lineage: Eukaryota; Fungi; Ascomycota; Sordariomycetes; Diaporthales; Diaporthaceae.